RNAcentral lists this long non-coding RNA (240 nucleotides) under Brassica napus (rape). RNAcentral's name for it is "long non-coding RNA (BNAP_LNC020714)". The record is from RNAcentral. Lineage: Eukaryota; Viridiplantae; Streptophyta; Magnoliopsida; Brassicales; Brassicaceae.
UGUGUACAUUACUUUCAAACUGUAUAUGUGUACACCUAAUUUUGUAUUAUACAUCAAAGUGAUUGUGUACACAUAUUUGCUUCUUGUAGGUUUUCUACCUAAAUAAUUAAGCAUAUGCGACUUCGUGAACUCACGAUAAUGUUAACACAAUGUACAUGUGAUUUAUUCAUUCUUCCCACGUACACGCAUGGUCGGGGCAUCUUUGAAAUUUGACUGAAACCAAAGUCAUUGAAAUGCAUC